UUCUUCCCAAGGCACACCUGUCCGAAAGGCGGGGUCGCAAAGCCACCGGUCUAACGCAGCGGCGCGAAGCGCACUGACACGAUAGCGGGGCUGCCAGG
Molecule: non-coding RNA, 98 nt
Filed under: Hylemonella gracilis
Lineage: Bacteria; Pseudomonadati; Pseudomonadota; Betaproteobacteria; Burkholderiales; Comamonadaceae
Also listed under: 1 other name
Description: c-di-GMP sequence
Rfam family: c-di-GMP-I riboswitch aptamer
About the family: GEMM was predicted in a large-scale screen for bacterial structured RNA regulatory elements. Genes associated with GEMM are involved in a diverse array of functions, including chemotaxis regulation, signal transduction, secretion and chitin.
Source: RNAcentral